GGUCGCGGUGGCCGAUCCGGCGGUGGCCCGGCGGGUCGACAGCGCGCUGAGCGCCAGGGUUCCCGGCGGGUUCGACGUCAGCGCGGUCGCC
Molecule: transfer RNA, 91 nt
Filed under: Streptomyces fuscichromogenes
Lineage: Bacteria; Bacillati; Actinomycetota; Actinomycetes; Kitasatosporales; Streptomycetaceae
Description: tRNA-Val
Source: RNAcentral